RNAcentral lists this transfer RNA (73 nucleotides) under uncultured marine phage. Its description in RNAcentral is "tRNA-Gln". It matches the Rfam family "tRNA". From Rfam's summary of the family: Transfer RNA (tRNA) molecules are approximately 80 nucleotides in length. The record is from RNAcentral.
UGCCUUUUAGUGUAACGGUUAGCACAACUCUCUUUGACAGAGUUAGUAUGGGUUCGAAUCCCAUAAAGGUAUC